RNAcentral lists this ribosomal RNA (560 nucleotides) under uncultured beta proteobacterium. RNAcentral's name for it is "bacterial SSU rRNA". It matches the Rfam family "Bacterial small subunit ribosomal RNA", at positions 369 to 917 of the family's 1533-position model. The record is from RNAcentral. Lineage: Bacteria; Pseudomonadati; Pseudomonadota; Betaproteobacteria.
CGCUGAGGUCUCGGCGCACCUGAUCCAGCAUGCCGCGUGUGCGAAGAAGGCCUUCGGGUUGUAAAGCACUUUUGUCAGGGAAGAAAUCCUUUGGGCUAAUACCCUAGGGGGAUGACGGUACCUGAAGAAUAAGCACCGGCUAACUACGUGCCAGCAGCCGCGGUAAUACGUAGGGUGCAAGCGUUAAUCGGAAUUACUGGGCGUAAAGCGUGCGCAGGCGGUUGUGUAAGACAGGUGUGAAAUCCCCGGGCUUAACCUGGGAAUUGCAUUUGUGACUGCACGACUAGAGUGUGUCAGAGGGGGGUGGAAUUCCACGUGUAGCAGUGAAAUGCGUAGAUAUGUGGAGGAACACCAAUGGCGAAGGCAGCCCCCUGGGAUAACACUGACGCUCAUGCACGAAAGCGUGGGGAGCAAACAGGAUUAGAUACCCUGGUAGUCCACGCCCUAAACGAUGUCAACUAGUUGUUGGGGAUUUACUUCCUUGGUAACGUAGCUAACGCGUGAAGUUGACCGCCUGGGGAGUACGGCCGCAAGGUUAAAACUCAAUAAAUUUUGACGGA